CGCCGGACGAGCGAAAACACGGUCCCGGUCGGUAGUCCGGGCGCUCGCUGCGGCGAGUCAGUAACCUCCCUCCCAGGGUGUCCGGCCCGUCCUCUCGAUGC
This 101-nucleotide non-coding RNA is filed under the name Nocardia terpenica. Its description in RNAcentral is "Azaaromatic sequence". It matches the Rfam family "azaaromatic riboswitch aptamer (yjdF RNA)". The record is from Rfam by way of RNAcentral. Lineage: Bacteria; Bacillati; Actinomycetota; Actinomycetes; Mycobacteriales; Nocardiaceae.